GUUGGAUUUUAGUGGGUUAUUUUAGAUAAUUGGUCGGAUAGAACUAUUCUUGUACUAGUUAUCACCACUUUUACUUACUGGUUACUCGACUCUGUACUUUAUUGGAUGGAGUAGUAUCGCAAGGUAUCAUUAAGAGUUAAAUUGCUUGUAAAUGUAGGUUUGAGGUAAAACUUGGAUUGAAAUUUGCAGGAUCACAGUUUGAUUUUUAAUGGGGUUCCAGUUCAUUUACUUUGAGUAAAUUAGAGUGUUCAAAGCAGCCUCUUGGGGCAUUGAAUAUAUUAGCAUGGGAUAAUAGAAUAGGAUUUCUUCUAUAUUUUGUUGGUUUAUUAUAGAUUGAAAUAAUGAUUAAUAGGGAUAGUUGGGGGGCACUUGUAUUCAAUAGUCAGAGGUGAAAUUCUAGGAUUUAUUGAAGACAAACUUCAGCGAAAGCAUUUGCCAAGGAUGUUUUCAUUAAUCAAGAACGAAAGUUAGGGGGAUCGAAGACGAUUAGACACCGUCGUAGUCUUAACUAUAAACUAUGCCGACCAGGG
This 530-nucleotide ribosomal RNA is filed under the name uncultured eukaryote. RNAcentral's name for it is "bacterial SSU rRNA". The stretch from base 136 to 530 matches the Rfam family "Eukaryotic small subunit ribosomal RNA", at positions 618 to 1051 of the family's 1831-position model. The record is from RNAcentral.